This 733-nucleotide ribosomal RNA is filed under the name uncultured delta proteobacterium. Its description in RNAcentral is "bacterial SSU rRNA". It matches the Rfam family "Bacterial small subunit ribosomal RNA", at positions 28 to 737 of the family's 1533-position model. The record is from RNAcentral. Lineage: Bacteria; Deltaproteobacteria.
AACGAACGCUGGCGGCGUGCUUAACACAUGCAAGUCGAACGAGAAAGUCCCUUUCGGGGGAUGAGUAGAGUGGCGCACGGGUGAGUAACGCGUAAGUAAUCUACCCCAAUAUCUGGGAUAACCGACCGAAAGGUUGGCUAAUACCGGAUACCCUUUAUGUAUCGCGAGUUAUAUAGAGGAAAGGUGACCUCUGAUCAAGUUACCGUAUAGGGAUGAGCCUGCGUACCAUUAGCUAGUUGGUGGGGUAAAGGCCUACCAAGGCAACGAUGGUUAGCGGGUCUGAGAGGAUGAUCCGCCACACUGGAACUGGAACACGGACCAGACUCCUACGGGAGGCAGCAGUGAGGAAUAUUGCGCAAUGGGGGCAACCCUGACGCAGCGACGCCGCGUGGGUGAGGAAGGUUUUCGGAUCGUAAAGCCCUGUCAGGUGGGAAGAAGUGUUAUACGGUUAAUACCCGUAUAGUUUGACGGUACCACCAGAGGAAGCACCGGCUAACUCCGUGCCAGCAGCCGCGGUAAUACGGAGGGUGCGAGCGUUGUUCGGAAUUACUGGGCGUAAAGGGCGCGUAGGCGGCCUGAUAAGUCAGAUGUGAAAGCCCACGGCUCAACCGUGGAAGUGCAUCUGAAACUGUCUGGCUUGAGUAUUGGAUGGGAAAGUGGAAUUCCAGGUGUAGAGGUGAAAUUCGUAGAUAUCUGGAGGAACACCGGUGGCGAAGGCGACUUUCUGGACAAA